Long non-coding RNA from Homo sapiens (human), 594 nucleotides. The record is from Ensembl. Lineage: Eukaryota; Metazoa; Chordata; Mammalia; Primates; Hominidae.
ACACACGCACGCGCGCUUCUUAAAGGAGACGGCUCAUAAAGGAUUCCCCACUACGCCAGCAGAGGGGAAGAGGAGCCCACGGGAAAGAAAAGCAGGCGAGGUUAAGAAUAAAGAGUGUUCCAGGUAUGACAGCUACCUCGGUGAGGUGGAAGAGAGAAUUGACAAGGCAAAUUUCAUGGGUGAGUUGGAAAGGCAAGAAGCAGGACUACAAGAGGUCCUAUGUGGUAAGCAGAUGGAAAAUUCUGAGAAUGGUUUGCCAAAAAUUGUAUUAGACUGCAAUAACUUUUAUCCAAUAAAAGAAAAAAAGGCUGAGGAAUGGGACUUUGCAGCUGUUGCUGUAAAAAUGUAAGAAAUGCCCACCCAACUUGACCCAAGACCCAAGAAGUUCUCAGGGAGACCUUCCUGACAGUCUGCCUUGUGCCCAGCAUGUGCUGCCCACAAAAUAAUUUUGAAGAUGUAAUAAAAAGCAAUGUCUUAUAUUGUAUAGUACAUUAGAAUAUUCAGAAUGUUUCCAGACAUAGUAUCUCAUUUAAUUCUCACACCAUCUCUGAGGAUUUUGUUUUUAUUUUACAGAUGAAGUAAAUGAUAGCAAUA